AAAAAGACAAACCCUAGUUUCCGUGUUCAACGUUUGACCGUCCGUCUUAUUUGAAAAAAUUAUGAAAAAAAUUAAAAAGAUAAGUCACACAUAAAGUAUUAAUCAUGUUUUAUCAUAUAAGACGGAUAGUCAAACGUUGGCACGGAAAUCUAGGAUUUAUCUUUUU
RNAcentral lists this microRNA precursor (166 nucleotides) under Oryza glumipatula. Its description in RNAcentral is "MIR812 microRNA precursor family". It matches the Rfam family "MIR812 microRNA precursor family". The record is from Rfam by way of RNAcentral. Lineage: Eukaryota; Viridiplantae; Streptophyta; Magnoliopsida; Poales; Poaceae.